This 251-nucleotide long non-coding RNA is filed under the name Ananas comosus (pineapple). RNAcentral describes it as "long non-coding RNA (ACOM_LNC025785)". Lineage: Eukaryota; Viridiplantae; Streptophyta; Magnoliopsida; Poales; Bromeliaceae. The record is from RNAcentral.
AAAAAUCGCAAUCUAGCUAUCCGAUCAAUCACAACCUCUUAUGUGUGUGACCCCAUAGGUUCUAUUCUAUCUAGUAGUGAGAUAUAUUUUGAUCACUAUCAACAAUAUCACUGAAACUCCUUUCAGUGGAUCAGAACAAUUCCAAGUCAACCCAAUGAAAAUUAUCGAUCAUCUAGAUAAUUCUCAUGAGUCCCACAAUCUACCAGUGACGCCUAGCAGCAUGUAGUGGCAUUCCAGUAGAAUGAAAUAUU